GUGCAGCAGGCGAGAAACCUCCGCAAUGCGGGAAACCGCGACGGGGGACCCCGAGUGCCGUGGUAACGCCACGGCUUUUCCGGAGUGUAAAAAGCUCCGGGAAUAAGGGCUGGGCAAGGCCGGUGGCAGCCGCCGCGGUAAUACCGGCGGCCCGAGUGGUGGCCGCUAUUAUUGGGCCUAAAGCGUCCGUAGCCGGGCCCGUAAGUCCCUGGCGAAAUCCCACGGCUCAACCGUGGGGCUUGCUGGGGAUACUGCGGGUCUUGGGACCGGGAGAGGCGGGGGGUACCCCUGGGGUAGGGGUGAAAUCCUAUAAUCCCAGGGGGACCGCCAGUGGCGAAGGCGCCCCGCUGGAACGGGUCCGACGGUGAGGGACGAAGGCCAGGGGAGCAAACCGGAUUAGAUACCCCGGUAGU
Molecule: ribosomal RNA, 413 nt
Filed under: uncultured microorganism
Description: bacterial SSU rRNA
Rfam family: Archaeal small subunit ribosomal RNA
Source: RNAcentral